UUAGUAGCUGUUCUCGAUCAUAUGAUCACUAUCAUUUCAGUCCAUGUUGUGUACAAGCCAAUCAGUAACACAAACUGCAGCCUUUAAACAUUAGGUGUAUUAUAUUGUGUGCAUUUAUCCUUUUUUUUAUUCUUCAUGACAGGCUACAUUUUGUGGAAACAGCAUCUAUAUCCCAAAGUUUUCAUGGUUGACUCCAUAGCAAGUUUGAGGGGGGAGUAAUGUGCACCUCACUGCUAACAACACUGUGGGCUUCAGAGACCAGAUCAAUACGAAGAAAGCUACAAAUCCCUAGUGGAGUCCAUUGAUACCCAAUUAAAAGCAUGUCUGCAGCAGAACCUGAAGACCGAGCAAACAUUAGACGGCUCUUUCAUACUCUCCAAAAACGACACAUCGCAGUGUGUGUACCAGAUCCUGGGUACAUCUCCCGCUCAAGGAAUGAUCAUCUAAGGUACAGCGUCUCCAUGUCUAAUGUCUCCUCAUCAUUUCUUCCCUUCCUGUCCUGUCUUUUAUUAAGUUGUGAGAUAAAUCCUCCAGAGCGCCAACAGUCUGCCUCCCUGGCCUGAUGUAAUAUGUUGUGUAUGCAAAGGCCUUAAACACUAAAACGUAAAUAUAUAACCGUUUGAUGCUAAAAAAAAACAAUCGUACUUAGUUUUACUUUAAAGUCGCUGUUUUGCGUGAUACUCUCUUCAAAAAUGUCUUGUGCUGAGGUGGAGGUAACAACUGUUUGGGACACAGAUUGAUGACUAAGGACUGGUGCACUGACCAACUCUUGCCUCUUUCCCAUCUCCCAUGGUGUCAUCAUCUGGUUGUUUUGUGCCCAGGCCUGCUGCCACAGUGAGUGCGUGCCAGCUAGAGGAGCCUGUUAAAAAUGUAGUUUGUGCAGCAUGUAUUUUUUACUGGCAAGCGGAUAAGGACUGCACAGCCAA
Molecule: long non-coding RNA, 926 nt
Organism: Scophthalmus maximus (turbot)
Lineage: Eukaryota; Metazoa; Chordata; Actinopteri; Pleuronectiformes; Scophthalmidae
Exons: 3
Source: RefSeq, a predicted model, not a curated record